RNAcentral lists this ribosomal RNA (661 nucleotides) under uncultured bacterium. Its description in RNAcentral is "bacterial SSU rRNA". It matches the Rfam family "Bacterial small subunit ribosomal RNA", at positions 94 to 788 of the family's 1533-position model. The record is from RNAcentral.
AGUGGCGGACGGGUGAGUAACGCGUGAGAAUCUGCCUUGGGGUCGGGGACAACAGAGGGAAACUUCUGCUAAUCCCGGAUGAGCCUUAGGGUAAAAAAUUUAUUGCCUGGAGAUGAGCUCGCGUCUGAUUAGCUAGUUGGUAAGGUAAAAGCUUACCAAGGCAACGAUCAGUAGCUGGUCUGAGAGGAUGAGCAGCCACACUGGGACUGAGACACGGCCCAGACUCCUACGGGAGGCAGCAGUGGGGAAUUUUCCGCAAUGGGCGAAAGCCUGACGGAGCAAGACCGCGUGGGGGAGGAAGGCUCUAGGGUUGUAAACCCCUUUUCUUUGGGAAGAACAAAAUGACGGUACCAAAGGAAUCAGCCUCGGCUAACUCCGUGCCAGCAGCCGCGGUAAUACGGAGGAGGCAAGCGUUAUCCGGAAUGAUUGGGCGUAAAGCGUCCGCAGGUGGCAAUGUAAGUCUGCUGUCAAAACCCAGGGCUCAACUCUGGUCAGGCAGUGGAAACUACAUAGCUAGAGUUCGGUAGGGGCAAAGGGAAUUCCCGGUGUAGCGGUGAAAUGCGUAGAGAUCGGGAAGAACAUCGGUGGCGAAAGCGCUUUGCUAGACCGAAACUGACACUCAGGGACGAAAGCUAGGGGAGCGAAUGGGAUUAGAUACCCC